Molecule: ribosomal RNA, 520 nt
Filed under: Alpheus nuttingi
Lineage: Eukaryota; Metazoa; Arthropoda; Malacostraca; Decapoda; Alpheidae
Description: partial 16S ribosomal RNA
Rfam family: Bacterial large subunit ribosomal RNA
Source: RNAcentral
AAAAACAUGUCCUCAUGAAAGUAGUGUGAGGUCUGGCCUGCCCACUGAAGGUGUUUAAAGGGCCGCGGUAUACUAACCGUGCGAAGGUAGCAUAGUCAAUAGUCCUUUAAUUGGGGGCUUGAAUGAACGGUCGGACAUAAGGAGAGCUGUCUCCGACUGGGAAAUUAUGAAUUUAACUUUUGUGUGAAAAGGCAUUAAUGUUUUAGGGGGACGAUAAGACCCUAUAAAACUUGACAUAUGGCCUAGAUUCUAAGAUUUAUGGGUAAUGGAGAGUUUAGGUGGAUAUGUUGUGCUGGGGCGGCUAGAAUAUAAUUGGUAACUGUUCUUUAUAUGUAAUAAUGAUUUUUAGAGUUUGACCCUAAAUUUUGGGUUAAAAGAUUAAGUUACUUUAGGGAUAACAGCGUUAUUUCUCUUGAGAGUUCAUAUCGACAGGGAUGUUUGCGACCUCGAUGUUGAAUUAAAAUUUUUUCUGGGAGUAGAAGUUCGGAUAAUAGGUCUGUUCGACCUUUAAAAUUUUACA